GGUCAUUUAGAGGAAGUAAAAGUCGUAACAAGGUUUCCGUAGGUGAACCUGCGGAAGGAUCAUUAUCGUAGGGCUUCGGCCCUGUCGAGAUAGAACAUGCUCCGUGAUAGUCGCUCGUGAUUUCCUCGGCAGGCUCGCCUGCCAAUGGAUGCUCGAAAAAACACUUUGCAGUACCUGUAACAGUCUGAACAAACAAAACAAAAAUUAAAACUUUCAACAACGGAUCUCUUGGUUCUGGCAUCGAUGAAGAACGCAGCGAAAUGCGAUAAGUAGUGUGAAUUGCAGAAUUCAGUGAAUCAUCGAAUCUUUGAACGCACAUCGGCUCGUAGAUGCUGCUCGUGAUCAUGCCUGUUCGAGCGUCAUUUAAACCUUCAAGCUAAGCUUGGUGUUGGGUGACUGUCCGCUUCACUGCGGACUCGCCUCAAAAUUAUUAUGCUCCGUGAUAGUCGCUGCUGAUAGAGCAGAAACGCGAACUCGGGCCCGUCGUAUUGGCUCCCAGAAGCUAUCUUCACAAUUUUGACCUCGGAUCAGGUAGAUGCUCGCUGAUAGUUUAAGCAUAUCAAUAAGCGGAGGAUAGAGUCGCUCGUGAUAGUCGCUCGG
This 600-nucleotide ribosomal RNA is filed under the name uncultured fungus. Its description in RNAcentral is "eukaryotic LSU rRNA". The stretch from base 209 to 362 matches the Rfam family "5.8S ribosomal RNA". The record is from RNAcentral. Lineage: Eukaryota; Fungi.